RNAcentral lists this ribosomal RNA (322 nucleotides) under uncultured eukaryote. RNAcentral's name for it is "partial 18S ribosomal RNA". It matches the Rfam family "Eukaryotic small subunit ribosomal RNA", at positions 1470 to 1796 of the family's 1831-position model. The record is from RNAcentral.
GCCUUAGAUGUUCUGGGCCGCACGCGUGCUACACUGAGUGGAUCAGCGGGUCAGGUUGCGCGAAAGUGUUUCCUAAUCUUGAAAUCCGCUCGUGAUGGGGAUUGACGGUUGCAAUUUUCCGUCAUGAACGAGGAAUACCUUGUAAGCGCGGGUCAUCAUCCCGCGCUGAAUACGUCCCUGCCCUUUGUACACACCGCCCGUCGCUCCUACCGAUUGAGUGGUCCGGUGAGGCUUUGGGAUCUGAGCGGAAAGAGCGUUUCGCUGUUUCUGCUCGGAAAACUCAGUCGAACCUUAUCAUUUAGAGGAAGGAGAAGUCGUAACA